RNAcentral lists this ribosomal RNA (460 nucleotides) under uncultured bacterium. RNAcentral's name for it is "partial 16S ribosomal RNA". It matches the Rfam family "Bacterial small subunit ribosomal RNA", at positions 338 to 795 of the family's 1533-position model. The record is from RNAcentral.
CCUACGGGAGGCAGCAGUGAGGAAUAUUGGUCAAUGGACGAGAGUCUGAACCAGCCAAGUAGCGUGAAGGAUGACUGCCCUAUGGGUUGUAAACUUCUUUUAUAUGGGAGUAAAAUGUUCCACGUGUGGGAUUUUGUAUGUACCAUAUGAAUAAGGAUCGGCUAACUCCGUUCCAGCAGCCGCGGUAAUACGGAGGAUCCGAGCGUUAUCCGGAUUUAUUGGGUGUAAAGGGAGCGUAGGUGGAUUGUUAAGUCAGUUGUGAAAGUUUGCGGCUCAACCGUAAAAUUGCAGUUGAAACUGGCAGUCUUGAGUACAGGAGAGGUAGGCGGAAUUCGUGGUGUAGCGGUGAAAUGCUUAGAUAUCACGAAGAACUCCGAUUGCGAAGGCAGCUUACUGGACUGCAACUGACACUGAGGCUCGAAAGUGUGGGUAUCAAACAGGAUUAGAUACCCUAGUAGUC